This 417-nucleotide ribosomal RNA is filed under the name Arabidopsis thaliana (thale cress). The record is from RNAcentral. Lineage: Eukaryota; Viridiplantae; Streptophyta; Magnoliopsida; Brassicales; Brassicaceae.
UUGCAUCCCUCUUUUUUUUCGGUUUUUCUCUUUUUUUGUUUUGUUAAAAAUGUAUGACUUUAUAACUUUUAGACCGUGAGGCCAAACUUGGCAUGCCAUACCUUUUCGGAAAGCCCAAAGAGAGCUCUCCAAUUAAUGAGGAAAGAAAAUGGAAUUCUUCUAUUGUUUUUUUUUUCUACUCCAAAUUUUGACCUUAAUGUAUUUUUUCAGGCCUUUUUUGUGAUCUUUGCUAUAUUACGGGGUGAAAAUUAUAUGUUCGGACAUUCUUUUCGAAUAUUUUGCAUGUAUCAAAGCUCUAAUAAACAAGAUAGGGUAUUCCUACAUAGCUAGCGGGACCCACGACAAAUGGAUCAUAAAGUCUUAAAAAAGAAUAGAUACGAUUGCAUUGCAUGUAGUAACGGAUGCGAUCAUACCAGC